UAGUUCACAGUUUUGUGUAGAGGAGAUGC
This 29-nucleotide non-coding RNA is filed under the name Mus musculus (house mouse). Lineage: Eukaryota; Metazoa; Chordata; Mammalia; Rodentia; Muridae. The record is from RNAcentral.